RNAcentral lists this ribosomal RNA (256 nucleotides) under uncultured bacterium. RNAcentral describes it as "partial 16S ribosomal RNA". The record is from RNAcentral.
CUGCUGCCUCCCGUAGGAGUUUGGGCCGUGUCUCAGUCCCAAUGUGGCCGGCCACCCUCUCAGGUCGGCUACUGAUCGUCGCCUUGGUGGGCCGUUACCUCACCAACCAGCUAAUCAGACGCGGAUCCAUCCCAUACCACCGGAGUUUUUCACACCGGACCAUGCGGUCCUGUGCGCUUAUGCGGUAUUAGCAGUCAUUUCUAACUGUUAUCCCCCUGUAUGAGGCAGGUUAUCCACGCGUUACUCACCCGUCCCG